This 788-nucleotide ribosomal RNA is filed under the name uncultured Pelagibacteraceae bacterium. RNAcentral describes it as "bacterial SSU rRNA". It matches the Rfam family "Bacterial small subunit ribosomal RNA", at positions 44 to 880 of the family's 1533-position model. The record is from RNAcentral. Lineage: Bacteria; Pseudomonadati; Pseudomonadota; Alphaproteobacteria; Candidatus Pelagibacterales; Candidatus Pelagibacteraceae.
ACGCCUUAUACAUGCAAGUCGAACGAAGUAGCAAUACUUAGUGGCAGACGGGUGAGUAACAUGUGGGUAUCUUCCCUUUGGUGAGGAAUAACACGAGGAAACUUGUGCUAAUACCUCAUAAGUCUUUACGGAGAAAGCUUUAUGCGCCAAUGGAUGAGCCCGCACUUGAUUAGUUUGUUGGUGGGGUAAUGGCCUACCAAGACUUUGAUCAAUAGCUGAUCUGAGAGGAUGAUCAGCCACAUUGGGACUGAGACACGGCCCAAACUCCUACGGGAGGCAGCAGUAGGGAAUAUUGCACAAUGGAGGAAACUCUGAUGCAGCGAUGCCGCGUGAGUGAAGAAGGCCCUUGGGUUGUAAAGCUCUUUCGUCGGGGAAGAAAAUGACUGUACCCGAAUAAGAAGGUCCGGCUAACUUCGUGCCAGCAGCCGCGGUAAUACGAAGGGACCUAGCGUAGUUCGGAAUUACUGGGCUUAAAGAGUUCGUAGGUGGUUAAAAAAGUUGGUUGUGAAAUCCCGGAGCUUAACUCCGGAACUGCAAUCAAAACUUUUUAGCUAGAGUAUGAUAGAGGAAAGCAGAAUUUCUAGUGUAGAGGUGAAAUUCGUAGAUAUUAGAAAGAAUACCAAUUGCGAAGGCAGCUUUCUGGAUCAUUACUGACACUGAGGAACGAAAGCAUGGGUAGCGAAGAGGAUUAGAUACCCUCGUAGUCCAUGCCGUAAACGAUGUGUGUUAGACGUUGGAAAUUUAUUUUUAGUGUCGCAGCGAAAGCAAUAAACACACCGCCUGGGGAG